GGAGGAGCUUGUCUCGGGCGCUCGCUCUCCCCAACACAGGUAAAGUUUUACGAGAUUUUGCUAUUCCACGCUGUACGGUCUUCUGGAGACGUCGUGCUUCGCUGAACAACUCUGAAACAUGGAGCCCUACAUUCGGUACAAUCCUGCCAAUUCCUCCCACUUUGAGGACAUAAACCUCGACCUCCCGCCCUUCAUGUUUUUGGGAAUCCUCGUCAUGGUUAUCCUGAUGCUGUGCACCAAAAUUCUCAUUGGACGUCCGUCGGCUGAAAAGGCUCACUAUGAAAAGAACCACUUUGAAAAGAAUCAUUAUGACAAGAAUCAUAAUGGGAAGAUGGUGAUCAAUGGAGACCAUUGCCUCAUGCCUUGAAACUUCUUGUCUUCUUCGUUACAUCGAUCUUCCUACUGUGGGCUAGGAAGAACUCGAAAUGCUCACAGACAAAAUUGAACAAAACUAUCUUCCCACUUUUGAAUAGGAGGCAAUGAUCGCGGAAUUCUGUCGGUAUCCUGUGUUCUAAGGACGCAGCUGGUUCACCAAAACAGUUGCCAGAGUAAUUUGUGGUAUAGAAAGAUUCUACUGGAUGUCUAGAUGCCUAAAUGUUUUUUUUUUCUCUACAUAGCUAGAACACAAACUAUGCUCUCUGUUUUAUAAAGAUUAAAGUAUUUUUAUCUAAUCAUAUUUUUUAUUUGUGUACUUGAAAAAAGAUAUUAUUAGUUAAAACUCCAAGGAAAACUUUCAUCAAGUUUACUGUUUAAUUACUCGUAACUUUCAAAAGAAUUUUUAUAAAAGAAAAUUAUUGUUUUCAACUCUAGUAGACGUAAGGUUUAGAAACCUUGUUUUCAUUAAGUUUAUAACUUCUGUGCUUCAUAGAAACUUUAGUAUUUUUUAUCCAGAGGUAGAUUAUCAAACAUUAAUUUCUGUUCAUUCUAAAUUUCUAAGACGUUUUGCCACAUAAGUAGAUUACUGCUGUACUUUAUUAAAAUUUAAAUUUUAAAGAGAUUGUUGUGCUCUAUUUUAUUGUUAAUUGAGGGCCCAAUAUCUUGCUGUUACAAAGACUAGAUAAUUUUUUUAUUAUCUUAGAAAUCAUUUCUAAUAACUUGAUUUUGCAUCAAUAUUUUUUCCACAUUCUAUUUCGUUACAAAUAAGUUCAAAUAGUUUUAUUUCUAUAUUUUUUUUUUUUUUGAAAUUUUAAAGACACUGUUACAGAGAUAAGUAUUUUUUUUUUUAAAUCAUAUUGUUUAAAAGUUUUUAUUACAAAAGAAGUGUUUUGUUUUUGUUGGUAUUAUGUACAAUUUUAUAUUGAUUAUAUCUUAAACACUUUACUGAAUGAUAGUCUCAUGUAUUCAAGCUCUAUAUUUUCAGUCAAACAAAUUGAUUUUCUUUGGAUUUCUGAUUGUAGCCAUCUUUUACAAUAUAUAGUGAAUUUAAAUACCCAUUCAUGAAUUUCUGUCUCACAAUGCAUAAGCCCACAAAUGCAUGCAGACAAUAUGCAUACAUUUCUGUUAUGUAUUCUGUAAGCAACAUUUUUUAAAGAAUAUCAACUGAAUAUGCAUUUG
Molecule: long non-coding RNA, 1554 nt
Organism: Macrobrachium nipponense
Lineage: Eukaryota; Metazoa; Arthropoda; Malacostraca; Decapoda; Palaemonidae
Exons: 3
Source: RefSeq, a predicted model, not a curated record